CAACCCACGGGUUCUUGCUUGUCUGUUCCCCAUUCGAUCCCCAAAUCGAGAGACGAAACCCUAGCCGCGCCGCACAACUUCCUUUACCAUAUCCCAAAUCGAAGCAGAUAUAACCGUAGCUUGCAAAGAUGGCAGAUCCAGGUGUUGACCAAGGUGCUCUGUCAGUCGUGCCUUGUCCGGAUUGCGGGAGGAACGUGGUGACAUACGUAGCGCGGCGCGGGCAGAAUGCCGGCCAGCGUUUCGACAAGUGCCGGAAUCACAAUCCGUCAGGGGGUGGAUGUGAUUUCUACAGGUGGGAGGAGGCCUACGCGGCCCAUGUCGCCACUCUUGGUCUUGGAGGAGCAACUCCUGUAGUUGGCCAAGUCGGGCCAGGUCAGAUGCAGGGCGGGCAGGCGGCUGGAGUUAGUAACUUUUGUUUGAUACCAAUGUCAGGGAGGUGCUGAUCUGCGUCCUCGAGUGUCAGGGAGGUGCUGAUCUGCGUUCUCCAAUGUCAGGGAGAUGAUCAACAGCAGGUAGGCUUUUUUGUGACAUCUGUGACAGUGACAUACUUCCGGCUCCGUAAAUGGUAAGGUGUCCGUGGGUACCGGGGUGAUAUCAGCAUAGCUGCAGCCAUAAAAACAGUGUGGACAGAAUGCUUAGAUAUAGUUUGAAACUUUAGGAGAGGUGCUAGAAAUAAAACACAGCUUGCAUGAGAUUGCUAACCCGUGUGUGCAGAAUCAUCGUCAGAAGGCAUGUUAGUGAAACAGAGAGCACAAGGCGCAAGGGGCAGGUGGCAUUUAUUGCAAUCAGGUUUUGCGCGGCUCCAGGAAGGGUAGGUGCUGGCAGCUUAGCUUCAGGAGUUUCCUCAACAUACUGAAGUUGUUGAUCCUUUGCUGGAAUGAUAUUCAGAGCACAUGAUCAUAGUGGUGUUUCUUUCAUUUUAAAAAAAAAAUCAUGAGACGACGUGAGUGGUGAUGAGUUGUUAAGUACAUGUUUGAGAGACUAUUCCAGCAAGCUGGAGAAGAGUGUGUGCGCAUGCAUUUGCAAGUGGUGAUUCUGGAGGAAGCUGUGUCUGCAGGGAUGUAUCAACAAGCGUGGAGGUUAAAUAUUGAGCAUGUGUGUACAAGUGCCAAUGACAAUCAAAUGGAAACCAACAUGACUCAGGUGUUAUGAAUCUUGGUGUGGAAUCUGGGGCUCCAGUGCAGUUCUCUUUUCCUCUGCGUGCUUCUGCUAAUGCUUCUUCAUGACUCUGGGUUGAAGGUGCGCGACUCUGCUCUGCUGGCCUACCUGUAAAAAGCGAGGAGGGCAGACACAAGCAGUUAGUAACUUUUGUUUGAUACCAAUGUAUUCAAGUCAAAAGUGAGUUUUCGAUGGGAACGAACAUUGGGUAACAACAAGCGCUGUCUUGGCGCUGACCAAGGGGCUUGGAGCUAGAUGCA
Molecule: long non-coding RNA, 1418 nt
Organism: Triticum aestivum (bread wheat)
Lineage: Eukaryota; Viridiplantae; Streptophyta; Magnoliopsida; Poales; Poaceae
Exons: 3
Source: RefSeq, a predicted model, not a curated record